Molecule: ribosomal RNA, 424 nt
Filed under: uncultured bacterium
Lineage: Bacteria
Description: partial 16S ribosomal RNA
Rfam family: Bacterial small subunit ribosomal RNA
Source: RNAcentral
GAUAUUGUACAAUGGGCGAAAGCCUGAUCCUGCCAUGCCGCGUGUGUGACGAAGGUCUNCGGAUGNUNAAGCACUUUAAGUUGGGNGGAAGGGUUGUAGAUUACUACUCUGCAAUUUUGACGUUACUAACAGAAUAAGCACCGGCUAACUUCGUGCCAGCAGCCGCGGUAAGACGAAGGGUGCAAGCGUUAAGCGGAAUUACUGGGCGUAAAGCGCACGUAGGUGGUACGGUAAGUUGGAAGUGAAAGCCCCGGGCUUAAGCUAGGAAUAGCUUUAAAAACUGACGAGCUAGAGGACGGUAGAGGGUAGUGAAAGUGCAUGUGUAGCGGUGAAAUGCGUAGAUAUAGGAAGGAGCAGCAGUGGCGAAGGCGACUACCUGGACUGAUACUGACACUGAGGUGCGAAAGCGUGAGGAGCAAACAGG